AAAAUGUCAGCUGGAUAUUUUUUAUUACACAAUCACAACAUACACAUGCACACACACACACACAUUCACCCGCAUUCUGGCACCUACGAAUAUGCCCAGAAGCAGACUUUUGUUUUAGUUUCCGCUCGACACCAACCCACACACACAGACAAACAAUAUUUUCGGGCACUCCACACAUAAGCCACAAAGUAGUUACUUUUUAUGAUCCUCGCCCGCACACAUACUCAUAAUCGGGCUUGGGCCCAAACUCUGAUUGUUUUCCCCCAAAAACGUCUCCAAAGCUCGUAAAUAUUUUACCAGUUUGGACCGCUUCCGACUCUAGGAACUAAUUUCAGCUCUUAUGGAUGACAUACGACGCACUUUUCGGUGCUCCUUGGGUGCGAGAGCGAUUCAACAUCUACAUUUCGUUAUAAAUGACUUUCAAAGGGCCUAAACGUUGUAAAUGGUCUAAGUGCGUGUUUCUGGCCAAGGCAUCGUCAUCAGCAUUGAGUUUAAACGGACGGCGGCAAUCAAUAGGCCAUGAUAAUUUAUGACGAUUAUGCUGGCCAAAAGCCGAGAAAGUUGUCCAAGAAUAUGACUUGAUAUUAAACUUUGAUUUUGCUGUGACAUCUUUGUUGAGAACAUAAGUUCAUUUCUUCUGAUGCCUUCAUAAAAGAAAUAUCCAUUUAAAGAGUGGCGAAGGAAAGUAUCCAAUCAUAGUGAGUCAUCCACUGAAGUGUUACAUAGAAAACAGUCAACACCAAGAGAUAGAAUAACAAGGAAAUACGAAACUCAUAGCCACUCAAGGAAACGUGAAGUAGACAAGUGGACAGGACUAAAAAUAUGAAAUGAAUAGUCGUUUCCGUGGAAGAUGUUACCAUUAUCUGAAGUAGGGAAUUCGUGAAAGUUUCCACAUCGCCCAAGAAUUAGUAAUCUACUCACGCUGCAUUUGUUGUUGUAGCAUCCCUGGAAGAAAAGUAGUGGAAAUGCCAGGAAGAUCGCAUAAGUGACCAAGCUCAUCACAACUCCAAAGGUGGCAUCCCACAUCUUCCUCUGCUGCAGGCACCUCACAACAAUGGAUUCACUUAACAUCUCACCCAAUCCAAACAAGUUAAUGAACACCGAGCUGACGAUCAAUCCCAGCAAGGCAAAAAUCCAUAUAUUAUUGGGUCUCCUCAAGGAAUGAGUGGAGAUGAAGGUCAAGAUGCUGAGAGUCCAACAGGUCAGGAACAUAAUUAACCAGCUAACAGCUUUGAAGCCAUGAGGCAGGCAUAUGAUUGGAAGGAAAAACAAACCCAGGCAGCUUGUGUACUUGUUCCAGCCAAUCAGAGCUCGAUCAUUGGAUAUAACCGGGAUAAAGUUAGCCAAUACAAAGUAUGAUGGUAUCUGUAGAUAGAAAUGAUUACCUUUUCAUGGUAGUAAAUCAUUGAAGAUAUACAAAUAUAUUCACCAUUGCAAUCCUAUAUAUCACGUUUGAAUCAGCCAUGUUCCUAUAUCCAUUCACCGCCUUCAGCCAAAUUUCGCGCCUGGAAAACUCCAUUUGCUUCUGAUAUUUGCCCAGAAUCUCAUCACCGCUAUCCAUUUCCAAAAAGUUUUCCUGAGUUUGUUUACUUUUCACCUUACUACGUUGAAAGUUAGCAUACGACACAACAAAGAUCACCAGUAAAACCAUCAAAAAAGUGUACAAAAACACAGUUACCCGAAACUUUAUCGAGUAUAGGUCCGCAACUAUAAGGUACACAUUGUAUGAUUUCUUGAUUACGAUAUACAAGUAGACCAUUCCAGUCAAAAUAAAGGACAAGCAGGACCAAAAAGUAAUUCCGUCAACUCGAUAUCCCUGCGCACAAAUAACCAUAAAUCCUAUCACAAUAUAGCGCAGUAUGUCUCCCAUAAUUUUUGCAAACUGCAAAGGACUCAGGCAUAUGGACUCAGGUUUACGAGGAUUACAUAUUUCCCAGAAACUGUUGUAAUAGGACACGAAAAAUGUGGGCCCAAACAAUAGGAAACUAGAUCCAAACAUUGUCAUGGGUGCAAACUCAAUAAGCGUCGCUAAAUUUGGCACAAAACUAAAAGUGGCUUAAACUAAAAUUAGGAAGGAAAUGCGAUUAUCUAUUUUACCCACAAGUAUUUAGUCACCAUGAAAAGCACGCUUAAGUGCACCAUCAAUAAGAAAGCACUUAUUAGUCCAUAAAUUGACAUCGUUGGUAGCUUAAAUACGCAAAAGCAUAUAUCUAAGUAGUUGAUAAGGUAAACCAACGAACCACAACUCAGUGUACUUCUGGCGAGACCACAUGUCUGAUUGGCAUUUCUGAAUGAUUCCCUUGGCAGUGAACAGC
This is a non-coding RNA of Drosophila melanogaster (fruit fly), 2315 nucleotides long. The record is from Ensembl. NCBI's taxonomy places the organism in Eukaryota, Metazoa, Arthropoda, Insecta, Diptera, Drosophilidae.